This 2973-nucleotide ribosomal RNA is filed under the name Triticum aestivum (bread wheat). RNAcentral describes it as "partial small subunit ribosomal RNA". Lineage: Eukaryota; Viridiplantae; Streptophyta; Magnoliopsida; Poales; Poaceae. The record is from RNAcentral.
AUGCGUACGCGUUGGGUUCCACCAUAUUAUCAACGUGAAUUGCUUCAAAAAUUGCAGCGUUUAAGACAAGGGAAAAAUUCUGUAGAAGAAUAUUAUCAGGAAUUACAAACUGGCAUGAUUAGAUGUGGUAUUGUUGAGGAGAAUGAAGCUAUGCUUGCACGUUUUCUGGGUGGAUUAAAUAGAGAGAUUCAGACCAUUCUAGACUAUAAGGAGUAUACUAAUAUCACUCGUUUAUUCCAUCUUGCUUGUAAAGCUGAACGUGAAGUGCAGGAUCGACAAGCAUUGGGGCGAACUAACUUUUCUGCAGGCCGACCUUCAUCAUGGACACCACGUGCAUCUUCUACUUCAACUGCACCAGCACCUCCAUCCGGUGCCACCUCCAGCCGUGAUACAAGAAAACAGGCACAACCACCAUUAUCUGCCAAGAGCGCACCUGCGGGGCCUGCACAGCGUUCUUCUUCUUCCAUGGCAUCAACAGGGCACACAAGUGAUAUUAUUUGUCGUCGUUGUAAGGGAGGAGGUCAUUAUGCGAGAGAAUGCAAAUCUCCGAGUGUGAUGAUUGCUACCGCGGAUGGUGGAUAUGAGUCCGCUAGUGACUAUGAUGAGGAGACUUUGGCUCUUAUUACACGUGAAGAACAUGGUGGAGAUGAUUCUGAUCAUGAGACGCAAUACAUGGCUCCUGAAGACGCUGACAGGUAUGAAUGUUUAGUUGCUCAACGUGUUUUGAGUGUGCAGGUCACACAAGCUGAGCAAAAUCAGAGGCACAAUUUGUUCCAUACCAAGGGAGUUGUGAAGGAACGUUCUGUGCGCGUCAUCAUAGACGGAGGGAGCUGCAACAACUUGGCUAGCAUGGAGAUGGUGGAGAAGCUUUCUCUCACCACAAGACCACAUCCACAUCCUUACUACAUCCAAUGGUUCAACAACAGCGGCAAGGUUAAGGUAACACGUACUGUUCGUGUGCAUUUUAGUAUCUCUACAUAUGCUGAUUAUGUUGAUUGUGAUGUGGUACCUAUGCAAGCAUGUUCCUUAUUACUUGGUAGACCAUGGCAAUUUGAUAAAAAUUCUGUACACCAUGGUAGAAACAAUCAAUAUACUCUUGUUCAUAAGGAUAAAAAUAUUACUUUGCUUCCUAUGACUCCUGAUUCCAUUUUGAAAGAUGAUAUUAAUAGAGCUAAUAAAGCAAAACAAGAGACGAAUAAGAGUGAAAAUCAGAUUGUGGCAAAAGAAUUUGAGCAACAAAUGAAGCCUAAUAAUAAACCAUCUAGUGUUGCUUCUGAAAUUAAAUUGAAAAGUGCAUGUUUAUUUGCCACCAAAUCUGAUAUUGAUGAGCUAGAUUUCAGCAAAUCUGUUUGCUAUGCUUUUGUGUGCAAAGAGGCAUUAUUUUCAUUCGAGGACGUGCCUUCCUCUUUGCCUCCUGCUGUCACUAACAUUUUGCAGGAGUUCGCUGACGUCUUUCCACAAGACGUGCCACCGGGAUUACCGCCUAUUCGAGGGAUUGAGCAUCAGAUUGACUUAAUUCCCGGUGCUUCACUGCCAAACCGUGCACCAUACCGUACCAAUCCAGAGGAGACGAAGGAGAUUAUGCGUCAAGUACAAGAGCUUCUCGACAAAGGUUAUAUACGCGAAUCCCUUAGUCCUUGUGCUGUUCCUAUUAUUCUAGUGCCGAAAAAGGAUGGUACAUCACGUAUGUGUGUUGAUUGUAGAGGCAUUAAUAAUAUUACUAUUCGUUAUCGUCAUCCUAUUCCUAGGCUAGAUGAUAUGCUUGAUGAAUUGAGUGGCUCUACAGUAUUCUCCAAAGUUGAUUUGCGUAGUGGCUACCAUCAAAUUCGUAUGAAAUUGGGAGAUGAAUGGAAAACAGCAUUUAAAACUAAGUUUGGAUUAUAUGAGUGGUUAGUCAUGCCUUUUGGGUUAACUAAUGCACCUAGUACUUUCAUGAGAUUAAUGAACGAAGUUUUACGUGCUUUCAUUGGACGAUUUGUGGUAGUUUACUUUGAUGACAUAUUGAUCUAUAGCAGAUCUUUGGAAGAACAUUUGGAACAUUUACGUGCUGUUUUUAUUGCUCUACGUGAUGCACGUUUGUUUGGUAACCUUGGGAAGUGCACCUUUUGCACCGACCGAGUAUCUUUUCUUGGCUAUGUUGUUACUCCACAGGGAAUUGAAGUUGAUAAAGCCAAGAUUGAAGCUAUUGAGAGUUGGCCGCAGCCCAAAACGGUCACACAAGUGAGGAGUUUUCUUGGCCUCGCUGGAUUCUAUAGGCGUUUUGUGAGAGAUUUCAGCACCAUUGCUGCACCUCUCAAUGAGCUUACAAAGAAAGAUGUGCCUUUUCUUUGGGGUACCGCACAGGAAGAAGCCUUCACGGUAUUGAAAGAUAAGUUGACACAUGCUCCUUUACUCCAACUUACUGAUUUUAAUAAGACUUUUGAGCUUGAAUGUGAUGCUAGUGGAAUUGGAUUAGGAGGUGUGUUAUUACAAGAUGGCAAACCUGUUGCAUACUUUUCUGAAAAAUUGAGUGGGCCUAGUCUGAAUUAUUCUACUUAUGAUAAAGAAUUAUAUGCUCUUGUUCGGACUUUACAAACAUGGCAACAUUAUUUAUGGCCCAAGGAAUUUGUUAUACAUUCUGAUCAUGAAUCUUUGAAACACAUUAAAAGCCAAGCAAAACUGAACCAUGGACAUGCUAAAUGGGUUGAAUUCAUUGAGACUUUCCCUUAUGUCAUUAAACACAAGAAGGGUAAAGAAAAUGUUAUUGCUGAUGCAUUGUCUCGUCAUUAUACAAUGCUUUCACAACUUGAAUUUAAAAUAUUUGGUUUGGAGACCAUCAAAGAUCAAUAUGUGCAUGAUGCUGAAUUGAAAGAUGUAUUGCAGAAUUGUAAGGAAGGGAGAACUUGGAACAAGUUCGUUCUUAACGAUGGAUGUGUGUUUCGUGCUAACAAGCUAUGCAUUCCAGCUAGCUCCGUUCGUCUUUUGUUGUUGUAG